GAAGGACUAGGAGAUGUGCCUGCAGUCCCUCAAGGGGAGUCAAACAUCAAGAGGCUACAGGGCGCCGGGUGCGGUGGCUCACGUCUGUAAUGCCGGCACUUCAGGAGGUCGAGGCGGGCGGAUCAUCUGACGUCAGGAGUUUGAGACCAGCCUGGCCAACGUGGUGAAACCCUGUCUCUACUAAUAAUAAAAAACUAGCUGGGUGAGGUGGCUCAUGCCUGUAAUCCCAG
Molecule: long non-coding RNA, 230 nt
Filed under: Homo sapiens (human)
Lineage: Eukaryota; Metazoa; Chordata; Mammalia; Primates; Hominidae
Description: HSALNT0245261
Source: RNAcentral